Molecule: transfer RNA, 76 nt
Filed under: Armatimonadota bacterium
Lineage: Bacteria; Bacillati; Armatimonadota
Also listed under: 3 other names
Description: Armatimonadetes bacterium tRNA-Thr
Rfam family: tRNA
About the family: Transfer RNA (tRNA) molecules are approximately 80 nucleotides in length. Their secondary structure includes four short double-helical elements and three loops (D, anti-codon, and T loops).
Source: RNAcentral
GCCGGCGUAGCUCAGUUGGAAGAGCGGCUGAUUUGUAAUCAGUUGGUCGCGGGUUCGAAUCCUGCCGCCGGCUCCA